Molecule: ribosomal RNA, 391 nt
Filed under: Leptolyngbya sp. BL2
Lineage: Bacteria; Bacillati; Cyanobacteriota; Cyanophyceae; Leptolyngbyales; Leptolyngbyaceae
Description: bacterial SSU rRNA
Rfam family: Bacterial small subunit ribosomal RNA
Source: RNAcentral
UGGGGAAUUUUCCGCAAUGGGCGCAAGCCUGACGGAGCAAGACCGCGUGAGGGAUGAAGGUCUGUGGAUUGUAAACCUCUUUUGAUAGGGAAGAAGCACUGACGGUACCUAUCGAAUCAGCCUCGGCUAACUCCGUGCCAGCAGCCGCGGUAAUACGGAGGAGGCAAGCGUUAUCCGGAAUUAUUGGGCGUAAAGCGUCCGUAGGUGGCGAUUCAAGUCAGUUGUCAAAGCACAGAGCUUAACUCUGAAAAGGCAAUUGAAACUGAGUAGCUAGAGUGCGAUAGGGGCAAGGGGAAUUCCCAGUGUAGCGGUGAAAUGCGUAGAUAUUGGGAAGAACACCGGUGGCGAAAGCGCCUUGCUGGGUCUGCACUGACACUGAGGGACGAAAGCU